This 649-nucleotide long non-coding RNA is filed under the name Capsicum annuum. Its description in RNAcentral is "long non-coding RNA (CANN_LNC021911)". The record is from RNAcentral. Lineage: Eukaryota; Viridiplantae; Streptophyta; Magnoliopsida; Solanales; Solanaceae.
GUAUAUCCGCACGUUGAGAAUGUGUGGCAUAUCCUUUAAACGAUAAAGAUGCUUCUCAAUAAAUAAAUCUUGUCUUAAUGAAUUCAUCAACUUAUCGAAGUCAACCUUUCCCCAUGGAUAAUAUCCAUAUUGGUCAUCCUCGGCCAUCUUGAAUUCUAAGAAGCUAACAGAUGCAUCACCAGAUUCUGAUGACAACUAGCUAUGACUAAAAAACAAUAUGGCCAUAUGUUGCACAUCCUGAAUAUUGUCAAAUUUUUCAUUUGAAAAUAUUCAACCAAUGUUUUUAUUGAAAGUCGAUUUUUCAUCUUUGAAAAAUACUUUGUCAAUAACAAAGAAGGGAUCUGAAAUGGAAUAUUGAAAGUCUUCAUUGUUGGAGGUGCAAUUCAAAUAGCCGAUAAGAGCAAAUUCAAAUAACUUAAAUUUGAGAAAUGUUCCCUUCACACAGAUAUGUAGAUCACUUGGAUUAUCUUGUACCAACUCAAGCAUCAGCAAGCAUUUGAUUAUUUGUCCUUGAAAAUUUAUUUGGGCAUAUCAACAGAUACCCCAAAGCAUGUCUUCUUAAAUAAAUUGAGCACUUUUUUAUCUAUGAAAUUCUUAAUAUCAGUAGAAAAUUUAAGGUUACUCAAACUAUCAAACUUUACAGGAUGAG